GUCGUAGCAACAGUAACUAUGGGAAGGAACGUGUGGAGAGAAGCAGCGAAUCAUGGAAACGUUUAUGGUGAUGCAGGUCGUUGGGACGAAAAUCCGUACUUCAAUCAAAUGAGGCAAGCAGUCAGAUCCCACCAGUUUGUGUGGUGACAUCAUAGACUGUAUAUGUAAGGGUGACAUCGGUCCACCAAUAACUCAUUAAUAUCUGGGAAGCUGUCCUAAUCUUGUUUUGUUGAACCUAGCCCACUGUCAACAUUCUGAGCUUGUAGGGCCUCUUCCGGAGCACAAGACUUUGAUGCCCGCUAAGGACCAGUCUGAUCUGAACAACCCCGAAGCUACAGAACGGGCCGAUGUGCUGCAACUGGAUAACUUGCAAGAUAAUAGUCUCCUCGAUAAAACAAAAAUAUCCCCGAAGGUUGUGGAGAAAAAGUAUCCUUUUCAACAGGGUUACAAGAUAAAGCCAUUCCACAGUGAAAACGAAGUGUUCGAGGACAAUCUUCAGACUCCUGCUCUCAAAGUUCAUGUCAACCACAAAAUCCCAUCCGGAGUUGACCUAUUGAUAGACCCUACAGGGUUCAAGCCACCUGCGAAAUUAGACAAUACCUUGAGCACUGUUUUCUUGGUUCUUAUUGUAUUAUUGUUUUUAAUCGAUGUUGUGAGGUUCUCCAAGCAUAAAAUAAGAAGAUAUAAUGCUGCCAGGAUGAAGGAAAGAGAGUCGGAUAUUGCUGAACCCCCGCUGACAUUGACGUCCAGAGUUUGGGUGGGCAUCUCCUCACUGUUUGGUCCAAAAGAGGCUGCAUCUCCACCACAGCUGUUUCCGGUUUCUGAUGAUGAUGCAGAGAAGUCAAUCUCCACCACGGGCAACUCUAAUCAUGAAAAGAAAUUCGGAAGGAGAACGUUUAGCUGGAGACUAUGGAGACCGACUCAGCGGAUUGUCCCACAGAACAAUCCGGUGCUCGAUACUGUGCCUUUCAUCGAGGUUCCACUGACCACAAUUCACCCACCCCUGGAAAAAGUUGUAUGUCACCACAUAGUCAACCACCAGACAACUGACAAGCCCUGCUACACAGGGUCGGGACUUCCUGAGGUCAGCAUCAGUUGACUUUGAGGACAUCGGAAACCAAUUAACAUUGAUUGGCCGAAAAUACCUCUUGUGACGUUUUUUCUCAUUUAAUUUGAUCAUAACUUUAGAGUAAUAAAACUUGCAUUCCAAAUGUACAGUAUGUCUGGUAUAGUUUGUCACACAAAUAACUGUCUCUCUAUGCCACUGUGUCGCUUGGCCUUGAGUUCGCUAACAUCCAUGCUAACAGGCCUCAGGCCUUUACUGCCCGUUUGUAUUUAACCUAGCCUGCUGAGUUAACUAUGAAGGUCGCUUGCAUCCAUGAUAAGUGGCGCUAAUGGGUCCGCCAUCUUCCCUGUGACUAAUUUGGAAAAGUCCGGCCAAUUACACAAAAAAAUAGUGGUGUUUUGUGCAGAAACAACUUGCUCCACAAAAAGGACCAAAGAUACGAGGGAGGCUGGAAUCACUUCAUACUCUAAGCAGAGAUGCCCAGACUUCCCUCUCCCCAGACACUUCCUCCAGCUCUUCCGGGGGGACACCGAGGCGUUCCCAGGCCAGCCGGGAGACAUAGUCCCUCCAGCGUGUCCUAGGUCUUCCCCGGGGUCUCCUCCCGGUGGGACGGGACCGGAACACCUUCCCAGGAAGGCGUUCCGGAGGCAUCCGAAACAGAUGCCCAAGCCACCUCAGCUGACCCCUCUCGAUGUGGAGGAGCAGCGGCUCUACUCUGAGCUCCUCCCGGGUGACCGAGCUUCUCACCCUAUCUCUAAGAGAACGCCCGGCCACCCUGCGGAGAAAGCUCAUUUCGGCCGCCUGUAUCCGGGAUCUUGUCCUUUCGGUCAUGACCCAAAGCUCAUGACCAUAGGUGAGAGUAGGAACGUAGAUUGACCGGUAAAUCGAGAGCUUCGCCUUGCGGCUCAGCUCUUUCUUCACCACGACAGACCGAUACAUCGACCGCAUUACUGCAGAAGCUGCACCGAUCCGUCUGUCAAUCUCCCGUUCCAUCCUUCCCUCACUCGUGAACAAGACCCCUAGAUACUUAAACUCCUUCACUUGAGGCAGGCACUCUCCACCAACCUGAAGUGGGCAAGCCACCCUUUUCCGACUGAGGACCAUGGCCUUGGAUUUGGAGGUACUGAUUCUCAUCCCCACCGCUUCACACUCGGCUGCAAACCGUCCCAGUGCAUGCUGAAGGUCCUGGUUUGAAGGGGCCAACACGACAACAUCAUCCGCAAAGAGCAGAGACGAAAUCGUGUGGUGUCCAAACCUGACACCCUCCGGCCCCUGGCUGCGCCUAGAAAUUCUGUCCAUCAAAAUUAUGAACAGAACCGGCAACAAAGGGCAGCCCUGCCUGGGUCCAACAUGCACUGGGAACAAGUCUGACUUACUGCCGGCAAUGCGGACCAAGCUCCUACUUCAGUUGUACAGGGACCUGACAGCCCUUAGCAAAGGACCCAGGACCCCAUAUUCCCGAAGCACUCUCCACAGGAUGCCACGAGGGACACAGUCGAAUACCUUCUCCAAAUCCACAAAACACAUGUGGAUUGGUUGGGCAAACUCCCAUGAACCCUCCAACACCCUGUAGAGGGUAUAGAGCUGGUCCAGUGUUCCACGGCCCGGACGAAAACCACACUGUUCCUCCUGAAUCCGAGGUUCUACUAUCGGCCGUAUUCUCCUCUCCAGAACCCUGGCAUAGACUUUCCCGGGGAGGCUGAGAAGUGUGAUCCCCCUAUAGUUGGAACACACCCUCCGGUCCCCCUUCUUAAAAAGACGGACCACCACCCCGGUCUGCCAUCCCAAAGGCACUGUCCCCGACCGCCACGCAAUGUUGCACAGGCGUGUCAGCCAAGACAGCCCCACAACAUCCAGAGACUUGAGGUACUCAGGGCGGAUCUCAUCCACCCCCAGUGCCUUGCCACCGAGGAGUUUCUUGACCACCUCAGUGACUUCAGCCCGGGUGAUGGACGAGUCCACCUCUGAGCCCUCAUCCUCUGCUUCCUCAAUGAAAGACGUAACUGUUAUAAAAACUUAAAAUGCUACUUCUGCCAUGUGUUUUUAUUGUAGAUGAUUUAGAGCAGGUCCCAGGUAAAAAUGGCUGCCAAAUUGCUCUACUCUGAUGUAUAGGGGCUCUAUGACAUCAGCCUAUCUAGUGUUCUAUUAUCUAUGGCUAAUGUUACCACGGUUCCAUAAAACUUAAAUUAGAAAUGUAUUUUGUUUUUUAUAAAGGUUGUCUGUUAAUGUAAAUGUACUUUUGAUACCUGAGAAAAGACAUUUAAGAACUGUUGUACAACUAAAUAGAGAUUUUAUUUCAUUAUGGGUUUACUGAAAUAUCACCUCAUUUUAUUCUCAUAGUAGCCUGUAGUAAUUGAUUUAAUUACUAAAUGGUAAUUGAAAGAAAUGAUCUGGUCUUAUUUAUAGCUCAGGUUUUGGUAAAGGGUUGAAGCACAAGGGCCCCAGCGUUUGAGAAACGGAAUUCUUGUCAAUAAUGGCAAGUGGAAAAAAGGAAGAACCAAACUCAAGGAGCUGAAGAGGUUUUAUUUUAUGUGCACACUAUUAUUUUAGUUUAUUUUUCAUACCUGUUUUAUGUGUAUGUACACUAUAUUUCUGUGUAAUUAACACCCUCUGUUCCAACUUUCAUUCUGGUGUGGUAUUCAAUAUUCAAUCAUCUGGCUCUUAAUCUAGUUUCUUCUGAUACUGGUCCAAAUUCACAUUGAUGACAACCUGUAAGACUACUACAAGCUAUCACCCUAAUAUACAUCAUUACAGCAACGUAAUAAGGGUUACACUCUGCAUUGCUCUCAGUGGUUCCUGUAGCUUGUUAACACAGGAGUACAUUUUUUCCUAUAGCUACAGUUUAAGAAAUAAGUGAGGCUCAAAUUAAUAGAGCUUACUUAUUUUACCUCUUUUUCCUGAAGAAACCUUUAUGGUCCAAAUUAAAUUAUUAAAUUCUUCAUUCUUCAGUCUAUUUUUGAACCAUAUAAGAAAACUUCUGAGAAAUUAUUAAUCUGACCUUAAUCUUGAUGGGAACCCACUGUGUAGCCUAAUGUUGGUUAGCUAGCUAAUGAUGCCAAAGAUAGGAUACAGGUUGAAAAAGCUGCCUUAUGACCAGAACUGGGAUCAGGCAGCAAGUUUAUUUCAUUUUAUACAAUGUAUAUCAAGUAUAAGAUACAAAAACUGUUGAAGGUUCAUUUUGAUUUACAGUGAGUGCCUUAAGAAAUCUUUCCUCUGUCCUUUAUAUUAGAUAAAGAUACGUUAUUUGAAAUAAGGUUAUGCAAUGCCCAAUACACUUUGUGAAAAAGUAAUUGUCCAUACGCUAAAUAGCCUACCAGCGAUAUACUGACAUUUAGUACAAUCGCAGAUUUUAUUCAAUAGAGUUCGCGAGACAGACUAGGGUAUGUAUAGGCUACAUGUCCCCAACAACAUUUUGUGACGGCAUGUACCGGCUCACACCGAUCUGAUUUUGGAUUGAUGUACGGAAUUUUAGAAAGAAAUUCCGUACAUCAAUGGAUAUAUUGUGGAACUGCGUAGUAGAGAUAUACUGUUGUUUUCAGGAUGACAACAUCACUGGGGAAGACAUUUCUAGUAGCAUUGGGAUUGUUCCAUAUCCACAAAAAGAAAUGGUCAGAAUCCAGACCAAAUUUCUUCCACUUUGAAAGAAAGCAAUGAACACUUGUAGUAUUUUGUAUACAUAUAAUAUUUAAAUUUAGAUACCCUGGCAAUGUACAAAGUUACAAUGACUUAUGACUGUGACUUUACCGUUUGUUG
This is a long non-coding RNA of Esox lucius (northern pike), 4819 nucleotides long. NCBI's taxonomy places the organism in Eukaryota, Metazoa, Chordata, Actinopteri, Esociformes, Esocidae. The record is from Ensembl.